Molecule: long non-coding RNA, 416 nt
Organism: Homo sapiens (human)
Lineage: Eukaryota; Metazoa; Chordata; Mammalia; Primates; Hominidae
Source: Ensembl
CAGACGGAGUCUCGCUCUGUCGCCCAGGCUGGAGCGCAGUGGUGCGAUCUCGGCUCACUGCAAGCUCUGCCUCCUGGGUUCAUGCCAUUCUCCUGCCUCAGCCUCCUGAGUAGCUGGGACUACAGGCCCCAGAUGAAUCUUUGUACAACAAAGUUGAGAAUCAUAGCCCUGGCGUUCAGAAGACAGGAAAUGGUUUCUCUGGAUCAGUUCUUUGCUCUUUGAAACGAGAUGAUCCAUCUCACACUGAAAGUUUCCUAUCGUGAGGUUCAGUGUCAUCUAGAGUCAACGGAUGAAGUAUAAGUGUUCACUGUGGAAUUUCUACAACACAAAAAGAAGAGGCUGGAUAAAGAAGAUAAACUGAAUAUUGAAACUGUUCCUUUUCCAUUAAAAAAUAGCAAAAAAAGUUUUCCCUGUAA